Molecule: RNA transcript, 782 nt
Organism: Nomascus leucogenys (northern white-cheeked gibbon)
Lineage: Eukaryota; Metazoa; Chordata; Mammalia; Primates; Hylobatidae
Gene name: putative zinc finger protein 137
Exons: 2
Source: RefSeq, a predicted model, not a curated record
GGAGAGAAACCUUACAAGUGUAAUGAAUGUGGCAUGGUUUUUAAUCAACAAUCACACCUCGCAAGUCAUCAUAGACUUCAUACUGCAGAGAAAUCUUACAAACCUGAACAACCUGGCACACCAUACUAGAAUUCACACUGGAGAGAAACCUUACAAGUGCAAUGAGUGUGGCAAAGCCUUUAGUGGGCAGUCACCACUUAUUCACCAUCAAGCAAUCCAUGGUAUAGGGAAACUUGACUAAUGUAAUGAUUGUCACAAAGUUUUCAGUAAUGCUACAAUCAUUGCACAUCAUUGGAGAAUCCACAGUGAAGAGAGAUCCUACAAGUGUAAUAAAUGUGGCAAAUUUUUCAGACAUCGUUCAUGCCUUGCAUUUCACUGGUGAACUCAUGCUGGAGUGAAACCUUAUAAAUGUCAUGAUUGAGGCAAGGUCUUCAGUCAAGUUUUGUCCUAUGCAAAACAUAGGAGAAUUCAUACAGGACAGAAACCUCACAAGUGUGAUGAUUGUGGCAAAGCCUUUACUUCACAUUCACACCUCAUUAGGCAUCAGAGAAUCCAUACUGCACAGAAAUGUUACAAAUGUCGUCAGUGUGGAAGGGUCUUCAGUCUGAGGUCACUCCUUGCAGAACAUCAGACAAUUCCUUUUGGAGAAAAUUGUUUCAAAUGCAAUGAGUAUAGCAAACCAUCAAGCAUUAAUUGACAUUAGAGUCAAAUCAGCCUUGACCUGAGUUUGAGUUGACUUAACAUUGAGUUCAAGCAUUAAUUGACAUUAAACUGUUUAUGUU